ACUCCUACGGGAGGCAGCAGUGGGGAAUAUUGCACAAUGGGGGAAACCCUGAUGCAGCCAUGCCGCGUGUGUGAAGAAGGCCUUCGGGUUGUAAAGCACUUUCAGUAGGGAGGUAAGGUAGUGUAGUUAACACCUGCAUCAUUUGACGUUAUCCUUACAGAUAAAGCACCGGCUAACUCCGUGCCAGCAGCCGCGGUAAUACGGAGGGUGCGAGCGUUAAUCGGAAUUACUGGGCG
This 236-nucleotide ribosomal RNA is filed under the name uncultured bacterium. Its description in RNAcentral is "partial 16S ribosomal RNA". It matches the Rfam family "Bacterial small subunit ribosomal RNA", at positions 335 to 560 of the family's 1533-position model. The record is from RNAcentral.